Molecule: ribosomal RNA, 1394 nt
Filed under: uncultured bacterium
Lineage: Bacteria
Description: bacterial SSU rRNA
Rfam family: Bacterial small subunit ribosomal RNA
Source: RNAcentral
GAAUUCGCCCUUAGAGUUUGAUCCUGGCUCAGGAUGAACGCUGGCGGCGUGCUUAACACAUGCAAGUCGAACGGGAAACCUUUUAUUGAAGCUUCGGCAGAUUUAGAUUGUUUCUAGUGGCGGACGGGUGAGUAACGCGUGGGUAACCUGCCUUAUACAGGGGGAUAACAGUCAGAAAUGACUGCUAAUACCGCAUAAGCGCACAGAGCUGCAUGGCUCGGUGUGAAAAACUCCGGUGGUAUAAGAUGGACCCGCGUUGGAUUAGCUAGUUGGUGAGGUAAUGGCCCACCAAGGCGACGAUCGGUAGCCGGACUGAGAGGUUGAACGGCCACAUUGGGACUGAGACACGGCCCAGACUCCUACGGGAGGCAGCAGUGGGGAAUAUUGCACAAUGGGGGAAACCCUGAUGCAGCGACGCCGCGUGGAGGAAGAAGGUCUUCGGAUUGUAAACUCCUGUUGUUGAGGAAGAUAAUGACGGUACUCAACAAGGAAGUGACGGCUAACUACGUGCCAGCAGCCGCGGUAAAACGUAGGUCACAAGCGUUGUCCGGAAUUACUGGGUGUAAAGGGAGCGCAGGCGGGAAGACAAGUUGGAAGUGAAAUCUAUGGGCUCAACCCAUAAACUGCUUUCAAAACUGUUUUUCUUGAGUAGUGCAGAGGUAGGCGGAAUUCCCGGUGUAGCGGUGGAAUGCGUAGAUAUCGGGAGGAACACCAGUGGCGAAGGCGGCCUACUGGGCACCAACUGACGCUGAGGCUCGAAAGUGUGGGUAGCAAACAGGAUUAGAUACCCUGGUAGUCCACACCGUAAACGAUGAUUACUAGGUGUUGGAGGAUUGACCCCUUCAGUGCCGCAGUUAACACAAUAAGUAAUCCACCUGGGGAGUACGACCGCAAGGUUGAAACUCAAAGGAAUUGACGGGGGCCCGCACAAGCAGUGGAGUAUGUGGUUUAAUUCGACGCAACGCGAAGAACCUUACCAAGUCUUGACAUCCCUUGACGAACAUAGAAAUAUGUUUUCUCUUCGGAGCAAGGAGACAGGUGGUGCAUGGUUGUCGUCAGCUCGUGUCGUGAGAUGUUGGGUUAAGUCCCGCAACGAGCGCAACCCUUACUGUCAGUUACUACGCAAGAGGACUCUGGCAGGACUGCCGUUGACAAAACGGAGGAAGGUGGGGAUGACGUCAAAUCAUCAUGCCCUUUAUGACUUGGGCUACACACGUACUACAAUGGCGUUAAACAAAGAGAAGCAAGACCGCGAGGUGGAGCAAAACUCAGAAACAACGUCCCAGUUCGGACUGCAGGCUGCAACUCGCCUGCACGAAGUCGGAAUUGCUAGUAAUCGUGGAUCAGCAUGCCACGGUGAAUACGUUCCCGGGCCUUGUACACACCGCCCGUCA